GCGCCCCACCUCCCUGCCGUCAGCGCCUAGAUGGUUGUGAGCCAUCAUGUGGUUGCUGGGAAUUGAACUCAGGACCUCUGGAAGAGCAGUAAGUGCUCCUAACCUCUGAGCCAUCUCUCCAGCCCAAGAGGUCACUUUUGCAUUGUGAUACCAUGCAAUGCUUCAUUGGUCUCUGCUGGUCACUUCACAGAGAGGAAUGCAGCAAAGAAGUUCUUGUAGCAUUCUGGCUGAAUCCUGCCGCUUCUGUUGACUCUUGCCAGUUCAGCAGAAUCUUAUGGUUCCUGCUGGAUCGGGCCGCUGCUACUGAUUCCCGGUUGGUGUUUGCGAUUGGACUGGACUGCUGGUAUCCUGACAACGAAGAGUUGCCCAAAAAACUGGUACUAAAAUGUCCGCAACCCCCCUUCCUAUUAACCCUCUCCUCACCCCACCCCCAACCUCUAGUCGGUGGGUUAGAAGGGAGGUUGAAGUGUUUAAGAACCCUAGAUAACGUAGA
This 493-nucleotide long non-coding RNA is filed under the name Mus pahari (shrew mouse). RNAcentral describes it as "lncRNA (MGP_PahariEiJ_G0005310.1)". Lineage: Eukaryota; Metazoa; Chordata; Mammalia; Rodentia; Muridae. The record is from RNAcentral.